CAAGUCGAGCGGAACGAUGAUAGCUUGCUAUCAGGCGUCGAGCGGCGGACGGGUGAGUAAUACUUAGGAAUCUACCUAGUAGUGGGGGAUAGCUCGGGGAAACUCGAAUUAAUACCGCAUACGACCUACGGGAGAAAGGGGGCAGUUUACUGCUCUCGCUAUUAGAUGAGCCUAAGUCGGAUUAGCUAGAUGGUGGGGUAAAGGCCUACCAUGGCGACGAUCUGUAGCUGGUCUGAGAGGAUGAUCAGCCACACCGGGACUGAGACACGGCCCGGACUCCUACGGGAGGCAGCAGUGGGGAAUAUUGGACAAUGGGGGCAACCCUGAUCCAGCCAUGCCGCGUGUGUGAAGAAGGCCUUUUGGUUGUAAAGCACUUUAAGCAGUGAAGAAGACUCCAUGGUUAAUACCCAUGGACGAUGACAUUAGCUGCAGAAUAAGCACCGGCUAACUCUGUGCCAGCAGCCGCGGUAAUACAGAGGGUGCAAGCGUUAAUCGGAAUUACUGGGCGUAAAGCGAGCGUAGGUGGCUUGAUAAGUCAGAUGUGAAAUCCCCGGGCUUAACCUGGGAACUGCAUCUGAUACUGUUAGGCUAGAAUAGGUGAGAGGAAGGUAGAAUUCCAGGUGUAGCGGUGAAAUGCGUAGAGAUCUGGAGGAAUACCGAUGGCGAAGGCAGCCUUCUGGCAUCAUAUUGACACUGAGGUUCGAAAGCGUGGGUAGCAAACAGGAUUAGAUACCCUGGUAGUCCACGCCGUAAACGAUGUCUACUAGUCGUUGGGUCCCUUGAGGACUUAGUGACGCAGCUAACGCAAUAAGUAGACCGCCUGGGGAGUACGGCCGCAAGGGUUAAAACUCAAAUGAAUUGACGGGGGCCCGCACAAGCGGUGGAGCAUGUGGUUUAAUUCGAUGCAACGCGAAGAACCUUACCUGGUCUUGACAUAUCUAGAUCUGCAGAGAUGGCGGGGAGUGCCUUCGGAAUUAGAGUACAGUGC
RNAcentral lists this ribosomal RNA (988 nucleotides) under uncultured Psychrobacter sp. Its description in RNAcentral is "bacterial SSU rRNA". It matches the Rfam family "Bacterial small subunit ribosomal RNA", at positions 58 to 1041 of the family's 1533-position model. The record is from RNAcentral. Lineage: Bacteria; Pseudomonadati; Pseudomonadota; Gammaproteobacteria; Moraxellales; Moraxellaceae.